CAGGCUUAACACAUGCAAGUCGAACGAUAUAGUGGCAGACGGGUGAGUAACGCGUGGGAACGUACCUUUCACUACGGAAUAGCUCUUGGAAACGAGUGGUAAUACCGUAUACGCCCUCCGGGGGAAAGAUUUAUCGGUGAAAGAUCGGCCCGCGUUAGAUUAGCUAGUUGGUAGGGUAAUGGCCUACCAAGGCGACGAUCUAUAGCUGGUCUGAGAGGAUGAUCA
Molecule: ribosomal RNA, 225 nt
Filed under: uncultured Bolidomonas
Lineage: Eukaryota; Bolidophyceae
Description: partial Bacterial small subunit ribosomal RNA
Rfam family: Bacterial small subunit ribosomal RNA
Source: RNAcentral